This 229-nucleotide long non-coding RNA is filed under the name Arabidopsis lyrata. Its description in RNAcentral is "long non-coding RNA (ALYR_LNC002448)". The record is from RNAcentral. Lineage: Eukaryota; Viridiplantae; Streptophyta; Magnoliopsida; Brassicales; Brassicaceae.
GAUGAAUGUGGCUCAGUUGUGACUCACAAAAGAAUUCCCUGAAAAUUCUUUUAUGUUCUGACCAACAUCGGCGGUAAAACACACAACUUCAAAGCUAAUGAAAAAUAAAUUGAACCAAAGAGAAACAAGAACCUACUUCUCUAGUCACAGUUGGAAUCGGUGAUAUUUGAUUUGCCAGACCCAUUCAAAUUGGAUGCGUAUCGAAACAAGACACCACCGUCCCCGUCGU